RNAcentral lists this ribosomal RNA (600 nucleotides) under Triticum aestivum (bread wheat). Its description in RNAcentral is "partial small subunit ribosomal RNA". Lineage: Eukaryota; Viridiplantae; Streptophyta; Magnoliopsida; Poales; Poaceae. The record is from RNAcentral.
AUGCCCUCAAACAGCGAGUCAAUCUCAAUGGUGGUCUGUGCAGUGGAGGAGAGAGUCCUCUUUGCCCUCUCACAGGAUGUCCUCAGCCUCCGAAGAGCUCUCGGGUUGCCACUGAUGUCCUUCUUGUUCUUCCUCUUGAACUCCUGGACGAAGUGUGUCACCAGCUGUGGCUUUAACCUCAAAGAUGCCCUCCUCAAUGGUGAGAAGAGAGACAUCAAAGGUACCACCUCCAAGAUCAAAGAUGAGGACAUUCUUCUCACCAACACUGGAAGCCUUCUUGUCAAGACCAUAAGCAAUGGCAGCAGCUGUUGGCUCGUUGAUGAUACGAAGGACAUUGAUGCCAGCAAUGACACCAGCAUCCUUGGUAGCCUGCCUCUGCGAGUCAUUGAAGUAUGCAGGUACAGUGACAACAGCAUUCUUCACAGUGCUGCCAAGGAAAGCUUCUGCAAUCUCACGCAUCUUGAUGAGGACCAUAGAGGAUAUCUCCUCAGCUGCAAACUGCUUCUCCUCACCCUUGUACUGGACAUUAAUCAUAGGCUUGUCACCAGGUCCAGCAACAACCUUGAAGGGCCACAGCUUAAUGUCACUCUGGACAGUUGA